UACGGAGGAUCCGAGCGUUAUCCGGAUUUAUUGGGUUUAAAGGGUGCGCAGGCGGGAGAUUAAGUCGGCGGUGAAAUUUUGCAGCUCAACUGUAAAAGUGCCUUCGAAACUGGUUUCCUUGAGUGUGGAUGAAGUAGGCGGAAUUUGUGGUGUAGCGGUGAAAUGCGUAGAUAUCACGAGGAACUCCGAUUGCGCAGGCAGCUUACUAAACCAUAACUGACGCUCAGGCACGAAGGCGUGGGGAGUCAAACAGGAUUAGAUACCCGGGUAGGUCCCUGA
RNAcentral lists this ribosomal RNA (279 nucleotides) under uncultured prokaryote. RNAcentral's name for it is "partial 16S ribosomal RNA". It matches the Rfam family "Bacterial small subunit ribosomal RNA", at positions 524 to 800 of the family's 1533-position model. The record is from RNAcentral.